AGAUUGAACGCUAGCGGGAUGCUUUACACAUGCAAGUCGAACGGCAGCGCGGACUUCGGUCUGGCGGCGAGUGGCGAACGGGUGAGUAAUGUAUCGGAACGUGCCUAGUAGCCGGGGGGAUAACUACGCGAAAGCGUGGCUAAUACCGCAUACGCCCUACGGGGGAAAGGGGGGAUCGCAAGACCUCUCACUAUUAGAGCGGCCGAUAUCAGAUUAGCUAGUUGGUGAGGUAAAGGCUCACCAAGGCCGCGAUCUGUAGCUGGUUUGAGAGGACGACCAGCCACACUGGGACUGAGACACGGCCCAGACCUCCUACGGGAGGCAGCGAGUGGGAAUUUGGACAAUGGGGGAAACCUGAUCCAGCCAUCCCGCGUGUGCGAUGAAGGCCGUUCGGUUGUAAGUCUACUUAA
Molecule: ribosomal RNA, 410 nt
Filed under: uncultured soil bacterium
Lineage: Bacteria
Description: bacterial SSU rRNA
Rfam family: Bacterial small subunit ribosomal RNA
Source: RNAcentral